Molecule: long non-coding RNA, 2189 nt
Organism: Raphanus sativus (radish)
Lineage: Eukaryota; Viridiplantae; Streptophyta; Magnoliopsida; Brassicales; Brassicaceae
Exons: 7
Source: RefSeq, a predicted model, not a curated record
AUUUGGGCAUCGGCUGAUUGGUGAGAAGGGCUUCAAAUAAACAUUAUCUCUUGGUUUCUUCAUCUCCUUCAUCAAGCCCCCGAAAGCAACGGCUUUUGCUCCUCCGCCGCAUAUAUCUACUGCGAUAGCUGGAGACUGGUCGCAGAGACGUGGUUCAUCCAGGUGAUUGGAUUUAGUUAACAGUUAUCUCAACGGAGACCAUUACAGUGUUUUCGCCGGUUAUGGAUCUGGACAUUAACUAACAGCUCCUCACGAAUUUAGACCACUACAUGUCUCAUGGUUAUAACAUCUUCGCCGGUCAAGAAAUGCCGUAUCGAUAUCGAUUCCGAUUACUCUACAAUCUCAGCUUCUGGUAGUAGUAGCAGUGCCGUCCACGUGGCUUCCGGUAACUCGAACGGUCAGGAGAUCGAUGAGGAUCUGCACAGCAGACAGUUCGCCGUGAACGGACGCGAGACGACAAGGCGUCUCUUUGCUUCAAAUGUUCUCAUCUCGGGGAUGCACGGCCUUGGCGCUGAGAUUGCGAAGAAUCUGAUUCUUGCUGGUGUGAAGCCUGUGACACUGCAUGAUGAGAAAGUGGUGGAGCUAUGGUACUUAUCUAGCAAGUCAUGACGGUGUGUAGUUCUCUUCAAUGGAGUUGAGAGAUGAUACAGUUGUGAUGUUGAGACUGAGAAUAGCAGUAAACAAAUUAUGUACUUCUGAAAUUCAAGUCAAGUCUGAAGCCGAAACUUCUGUUAAUCUAGGUUUUCCAGUUUAUGAAAGCGACUCAAUUCAUGGACAAAUGGAAGUAUGCAAAUAGACUUACACCAGAAAGAGGUGAAGAGAUUAAGAAUUUCAGGUGACAAUGGUUGGACAAAAUCGUUAAUUAUCGUUUUCUCCAGGCUUUUUUUCUUGGAAGAAGGCCUUGGAGAUGGUCAGCUUUGUGUAUUCUUCCGCAGCAGUCACUUCUACACCAUGAUGAAUGAUCUUCAAGUGUGACAGUGGAAGAUGGGAUCAACAUGAUACAAUUAGUAAUAUUGCGGAUAUCUUUCAGAUCCACACCAGUUUAAGUCAUAGUCAGAAUAAGUUAUACAUAUGGUGGGACUGCGAUUUCCUGGAGACCCAUGAAGCAUACGUUCCACGUCCGUUACUAGUCAAGUGCCAUCUGUCCAACCAUGACAUAAAGUGAUCAUCAGUAAAGAUGUACAUCCUGACCACAUCUUAAUGGAGUUCCAGAAGACAUAAAGACAUCCAAGAAGCUUCCAGUUCACUCAAGAGAGAAUUCAGAUGAUUCCUUCACCAUGGCACCACCGACAGCGACGUAUGAGAAGCUUGUGCACCAGAUUGAGACGUUCAGGCCCAAGGACCUACACUGAGGUCCAGAACAGGGGGAGUAGUGUGUGUUGUACUCUUUUUCCUGUCUUUGGUUUCCCUUUUACUAUAUUGGGUUUUGGGUUUUCCAAGAGAGGUUUUAAUGAGGCAAUAUUAUACACACUAUGAGCUCUAGACGGUUCUGGCAUCCAAGGGGGAGUGUUAUGAAUGUCAUGUUUGUGGAUGUCCAGCAACCAGACCCAAACCAUUAGAAUAUAGUCUAGAGUCUAGGUCCAUUUAUGGUCCACCAUGUAUUAGGCCCAUUAGGGUUUAUGAUCGAUGUAAUCCUAUAUAAGGAACCCUCUUGUUCAUUAACGAAUAACACGAAAUACUCUUUCACAAAUACACUUUCACAACAAAAAUGUGUUUUUAGUGGUGGUAAAGAUGAAUAAUGGUACUUUGAAAGUGGUAUUUUUGAAAAUUCCCCAAAAAAAUACGACAUUUAAAUAUAUAAAAAGCAUGUAAAUAAAGUAAACAUCUCAACCAUCUUUUUUUUUUUGAUAAUUGGUUUAACAUUUUAACCAUAUACGACAUUUUUAACAGAUUUUCAACAUACAGACAUGAAAUUAGUUCUCAUAUCUAUUCCAAAACAAGAUUCUAAUUUAAUAAAACCUAAUGAAUUACAAAAUAAGAACUCUACAACACAUGAAAUGAGAGAAACAAAUAUAAAUAACUAACUAAAUUUUGAAACAAUUAUUACAAGAAAAUUAGAUAGGGCAUGAAACUAAAGUAAAAUACUACUAGAAAUGUAAUAUUUUAUUAAUUUACAACACUAUUAAUCUAUAAAAAAAUAUUUUCAAAUAGCAUGAGCGAAAUUUCCAACUAAUAUUUUUAAUAAAAAA